This 440-nucleotide ribosomal RNA is filed under the name uncultured bacterium. Its description in RNAcentral is "partial 16S ribosomal RNA". It matches the Rfam family "Bacterial small subunit ribosomal RNA", at positions 338 to 795 of the family's 1533-position model. The record is from RNAcentral.
CCUACGGGUGGCAGCAGUGGGGGAUAUUGCACAAUGGGGGGAACCCUGAUGCAGCGACGCCGCGUGGGUGAAGAAGCGCCUCGGCGCGUAAAGCCCUGUCAGCAGGGAAGAAAAUGACGGUAACUGAAGAAGAAGCCCCGGCUAACUACGGGCCAGCAGCCGCGGUAAUACGUAGGGGGCAAGCGUUAUCCGGAUUUACUGGGUGUAAAGGGGGCGCAGACGGCGGUGCAAGCCAGGAGUGAAAGCACGGGGCGCAACCCCGGGACUGCUCUUGGAACUGCGUGGCUGGAGUGCAGGAGGGGCAGGCGGAAUUCCUGGUGUAGCGGUGAAAUGCGUAGAUAUCAGGAGGAACACCGGUGGCGAAGGCGGGCUGCUGGACUGCAACUGACGUUGAGGCCCGAAAGCGUGGGGAGCGAACAGGAUUAGAUACCCCUGUAGUC